RNAcentral lists this ribosomal RNA (1223 nucleotides) under metagenome. RNAcentral describes it as "bacterial SSU rRNA". It matches the Rfam family "Bacterial small subunit ribosomal RNA", at positions 285 to 1498 of the family's 1533-position model. The record is from RNAcentral.
AGCCGGCCUGAGAGGGUGACCGGCCACACUGGGACUGAGACACUGCCCAGACUCCUACGGGAGGCUGCAGUCGAGAAUCUUCCACAAUGGGCGAAAGCCUGAUGGAGCGACGCCGCGUGCAGGAUGAAGGUUUUCGGAUUGUAAACUGCUUUUAUUAGGAGAGAAAACUCAUAGGUUAAUAUCCUGUGAGCUGACGGUACCUAAUGAAUAAGCCACGGCCAACUCCGUGCCAGCAGCCGCGGUAAUACGGAGGUGGCAAGCGUUACUCGGAAUUAUUGGGUGUAAAGGGCAAGUAGGCGGCUCAUUAAGCGAGGGGUGAAAUCUAUCGACUCAAUCGGUAAACUGCCUUUCGAACUGGUAAGCUUGAGGACGGAAGAGGGAAAUGGAAUUAGCGGUGUAAGGGUGAAAUCUGUAGAUAUCGCUAAGAACACCAGCGGCGAAGGCGAUUUCCUGGUCCGUUUCUGACGCUAAAUUGCGAAAGCUAGGGUAGCAAACAGAAUUAGAUACUCUGGUAGUCCUAGCUGUAAACGAUGAGUACUGGGUGUUGGACCUUUUGGUUCAGUGUCGCAGCUAACGCGUUAAGUACUCCACCUGGGGACUACGGUCGCAAGGCUAAAACUCAAAGGAAUUGACGGGGACCCGCACAAGCGGUGGAACAUGUGGUUUAAUUCGAUGCUACGCGAAGAACCUCACCUGGGCUUGACAUGUAGGCAGUAGUGAAAUGAAAGUGGAACGAACCGUCAAAUCGGUAACCUACACAGGUGCUGCAUGGCUGUCGUCAGCUCGUGUCGUGAGAUGUUGGGUUAAGUCCCGCAACGAGCGCAACCAUUGCCCCAUGUUGCUACCACAUUUAUACCUUCGGGUUAAAUGUGCGCACUCUUGGGGGACUGCCCGGGAUAACCGGGAGGAAGGUGGAGAUGACGUCAAGUCAGUACGGCCUUUAUGCCCAGGGCUACACACGUGUUACAAUGGCUGGUACAAAGGGUUGCCAACCCGCGAGGGGGAGCUAAUCUCAAAAAACCAGCCUCAGUUCGGAUUGGAGUCUGAAAUUCGACUCCAUGAAGCUGGAAUCGCUAGUAAUGGAAGAUCAGCAUGCUUCCGUGAAUACGUUCCCGGGUCUUGUACACACCGCCCGUCAAGCGAUGAAAGCUGGGGGUACCCGAAGUCCUAUGUAGAUAGGCCGAAGGUAAAACUGGUGAUUGGCGCUAAGUCGUAACAAGGUA